Molecule: unclassified non-coding RNA, 229 nt
Filed under: plant metagenome
Description: partial contains small subunit ribosomal RNA, internal transcribed spacer 1, and 5.8S ribosomal RNA
Source: RNAcentral
UCUCCGUAGGUGAACCUGCGGAGGGAUCAUUACAGAGUCCAUGCCCUAACGGGUAGAUCUCCCACCCUAUGUUAUCAUCACUUUGUUGCUUUGGCGGGCCGUCAGGCCUCGGCUUGGCUACCGGCUCUCGCUGGUAAGCGCCCGCCAGAGAACCCCAAACCCUGAAUAUCAGUGUCGUCUGAGUACUAUAUAAUAGUUAAAACUUUCAACAACGGAUCUCUUGGUUCUG